CGUGACAUGAUGCGGUACGGUAC
This 23-nucleotide non-coding RNA is filed under the name Arabidopsis thaliana (thale cress). Lineage: Eukaryota; Viridiplantae; Streptophyta; Magnoliopsida; Brassicales; Brassicaceae. The record is from RNAcentral.